ACUUUUAACGACGGAUCUCUUGGUUCUAGUAACGAUGAAGAACGCAGCGAAAUACGAUAAGUAAUAUAAAUUAUAGAAUUUAGUAAAUUAUCGAAUCUUUGAACGUAUAUUACGCCCCCUAGUAUUCUAGGGGGUAUAUCUAUUCGAGCGCUAUUUCUACCCUAGAGCCCUACUCUAUAAUAGGCCCCGUCCUCGCGGACGGGCCCGAAACCCGUAGGCGCCGUCGUCCGGCCCUAAGUGUAGUAAGAGAAAUCCCUCGCUCGGAGUAUCUAUCGGCCGGCCGCCCCGAAACCUAUAUUUACAAGGUUAGCCUCGGAUUAGGUAGGGAUACCCGCUAAACUUAAGUAUAUUAAUAAGCGGAGGAAAAGAAACUAAUAGGGAUUAUCUUAGUAACGGCGAGUAAAGCGGUAAUAGCUUAAAUUUAAAAUCUAGCGCAAGCCCGAGUUGUAAUUUAUAGAGGAUAUUUCGGGUAAAGCUACGGUCUAAGUCCCUUAGAAUAGGACGUUAUAGAGGGUAAGAACCCCGUACCUAGCCGUUGGUACCCCCCGCUAUAAAACUCCUUCGACGAGUCGAGUUGUUUGGGAAUAUAGCUCUAAAUUAGUAGUAAAUUCUAUCUAAAGCUAAAUACCGGCUAGAGACCGAUAGCGUAUAAGUAGAGUAAUCGAAAGAUAAAAAGUACUUUAAAAAGAGAGUUAAAAAGUACGUAAAAUUAUUAAAAGGGAAGCGCUUGCGGCUAGACUUACCCGCGGUUACUUAGCCUACCUUUUAGCGGGUAUACUCUUCCGCGGUUAGGCUAGUAUUAGUUUGGACGGCCGGAUAAAGGCGUCGGGAACGUAGCCUCCCCUCGGGGAGGUAUUAUAGCCUAGCGCGUAAUACGGCCAGCCCGGACUGAGGUUCGCGCUUUGCUAGGAUACUAGCGUAAUAGCCGUAAGCGGCCCGUCUUGAAAUACGGACCAAGGAGUCUAAUAUCUAUACGAGUAUUUAGGUGUCAAACCCGUGCGCGUAAUAAAAGUAAAUAGAGGUAGGAACCGUAAGGUAUACUAUUAACCAAUCCUAAUAUCUUCGGAAGGAUUUGAGUAAGAGUAUAGCUAUUAGGACCCGAAAGAUAGUAAACUAUACGUAAAUAGGGUAAAGCUAGAGGAAACUCUAGUAGAGGCUCGUAGCGGUUCUAACGUGCAAAUCGAUCGUUAAAUUUACGUAUAGGGGCGAAAGACUAAUCGAACUAUUUAUAAAUAGUAAUACUAGAUAGUUAAAGGGCGGAGAGCCUUAGUCCCUACGGGGGCUAUACUACCAAACUACGGGGAACGCCUAUAGCCGGACGUAACCGCCCCCCCGCCGCGAGGUAGGAGGGGCACCCCGUUUACUCGGGGGUAUAGUAAUAGCGUACCCGGCGGGUCGAUCCGUAGCCGUCCCCCAAUCCGUCGGGGGGUAGUUUAUAGACUAGACGGUAGUAGGCGCGGCGAGCGCUUAAGAUAUAGUCGAUCUAGCCCCUUAAGGGGCCGAGAGUAGUAGCUAGUUCCUACCGAAGUUUCCCUUAGGAUAGUAGUAACGUUUUUAGUUUUAUAAGGUAAAGCGAAUAAUUAGAGGCCUAGGGGUUGAAACUAACCUUUACCUAUUCUCAAACUUUAAAUAUAUAAGAAGUCCUUGUUACUUAGUUAAAUAUAGACAUUUGAAUACACCGUUACUAGUAGGCUAUUUUUGGUAAGUAGAACUAGCGAUACGGGAUAAACCGAACGGGGGGUUAAGAUACCGGAAUAUACGCUUAUUAGAUACUAUAAAAGGUAUUAGUUUAUCUAGAUAGUAGGACGGUAGCUAUGGAAGUCGGAAUCCGCUAAGGAGUAUAUAAUAACUUACCUACUAAAUAAACUAGCCCUGAAAAUAGAUAGCGCUUAAGCGUACUACCUAUACCCCCCCUCCGCGGUAGGCUUUAUACCGCGGAGAGUAGGUAGGCGUAAAGGCCCGUAACGAAGCCUAGGGGGUAACCUCGGGUCGAACGGCCUCUAGUAUAGAUCUUGGUAGUAGUAGUAAAUACUUAAAUAAGAACUUUAAGGACUGAAGUAGGGAAAGGUUCUAUAUAAAUAGUAGUUAGAUACGGGUUAGCCGACCCUAAGUACUAGGGUAGUUCUAACUCAACGUACGCGCUUACGCGCCGUAGUACGAAAGGGGAGCCGGUUAAUAUUCUAGCGCCUAGAUAUAGAUUCUCCGCGGCAACGUAACUAAAGGCGGAGACGACGGCGGGGGCCCUAGAAAGAGUUCUCUUUUCUUCUUAACGGUCCGUUACUCUAAAAUCGGUUUGUCCGGAGCUAGGGUUUAACGACCGGUAGAGCCCCUUACCUUUAAGGGGUCUAGUACGCCCCCGACGUCCCUUAAAAAUCUACUAGAAGGAAUAGCUUUUACGCUAGGUCGUACUUAUAACCGUAGUAGGUCUCCAAGGUGAACAGCCUCUAGUUAAUAGAAUAAUAUAGAUAAGGGAAGUUAGUAAAAUAGAUCCGUAACUUCGGGAAAAGGAUUGGCUCUAAGGGUCGGGUACGUUAGGCCUUAGGGGGACGCUCCCGGAGUAGAUUAGUACUAGGCUUACGCCUAGCGCCUCCUAGUACUAUAGGGUCGACGCCCUUAGUAGGCUUCGGCCGUCCGGCGUACGCUUAACGACUAACUUAGAACUAGUACGGAUAAGGGGAAUCUAACUAUCUAAUUAAAAUAUAGUAUUGCGAUGGCUAGAAAGUAGUAUUAACGUAAUAUAAUUUCUACCUAGUACUCUAAAUAUUAAAGUAAAGUAAUUCAACUAAGCGCGGGUAAAUGGCGGGAGUAACUAUAACUCGAGUAACCUCGAGAGGGUUAUAAGAGCGGCCGCGGGCCGCUAGCGGAGGGGGUCCGCCCCCCGAGCGAUACUAUUAAAUUGCGGGGACCUCUAGAUACCUACGCUACUAACCCGGGGCCCGAAAGGGCGCCGGGGGCCGGGACCCAACGGUUCCCGGGUACGGUAAUAGCGCGUAGGCCCUAGACGAUCCGUAGCCAAACCCGCCGCCCCCUCGGGGGCGUAGGUAUAGUUCAACGACUAAAUAGUAGUAGGGUCCCCCCGGGGGCCCUAAGAUAUAGUCUACCGGAGAGCCUAACGGCCUCCGCUCGGAGAGAGCUCUUAAGGUAGCUAAAUACCUCGUUAUCUAAUUAGUAACGCGUAUAAAUAGAUUAA
RNAcentral lists this ribosomal RNA (3190 nucleotides) under Venturia inaequalis. RNAcentral describes it as "eukaryotic LSU rRNA". It matches the Rfam family "Eukaryotic large subunit ribosomal RNA", at positions 1 to 2327 of the family's 3401-position model. Lineage: Eukaryota; Fungi; Ascomycota; Dothideomycetes; Venturiales; Venturiaceae. The record is from RNAcentral.